This is a long non-coding RNA of Meriones unguiculatus (Mongolian gerbil), 2165 nucleotides long. RefSeq lists it as uncharacterized. NCBI's taxonomy places the organism in Eukaryota, Metazoa, Chordata, Mammalia, Rodentia, Muridae. The record is from RefSeq and is a predicted model, not a curated record. The transcript is spliced from 3 exons.
CCGAGCCCACGGAGUUGCUGCCUCCAGUCGGCCCAGGCUGAAGUGAGCAGCUGCGGGGGGGGGAAAGAGGAGGAGACAGCCCUCCGUUGCUCUGCCCCGGCACCACCCAAGGGUGGGGGAGAAAAGACAGUCCCCACCCCUUCCCAGGCCCGGGCCAUUAAAGGGUCCUUGGUUAAAAGAACCUGUCCCCCUGGUAUUUCCCCUGUUGGGGGGAAACAGGCCUUUAAGAGGAGUUAUCCAAACUUCUUUAGCAUUAAGAAAGUAAUUGAUACCAAGUCACUCUGGGGUCUGGGCAGUCCCUCCAGAUGGAAAACAUUAUCUCCCAGAAAUCCAUACAGCCAGAAACUUUGGCUCCUCGGAAAGCCCUGGCAAAUCUGUGCAGCUGUCUUGGGUCCAGACUGUCCCAAGGCCAAGGUGCUAAGUAGUAGGAAACUGAGGUUGCCUGGGGGAACCUCAUAUUAGGUUGCACAUUAGGAAGGGACUGCCCCGGAGGUGGCUGUCCUGGCAGCAGCAGGGGGUGGCGGACUAAAGCUGCCUCAGCUCCGCUGAAAUGUUUCUCAUCAACUCCACGGACUGGACGCUGUCCCUGUACCCAGGGGACGUUAUUAGAAGGCAAUCAAGUGUCUGCAAAGGCUUCCGUUUUUCAGCCAUCGUCAUCGCGGCUUCUUCCUUUUAACUCAACAGAACAACAUUCUGUUCUGUCACCCGGGUUCAGAUCGCCACUCCAUACCAGGUUGUAAUUGAUAAAGACCAACGGUUCUCAUAGAAUAGAAGUAACUAUCCUAAGGGACUGAUGAGAACCAACAGCCCAGAUCCACCCUUCAUCUUGGACCCUGCUAAAGGCAUGCCUGAGCUAAUGCUUUUACAUCUGUGCUGUUUUUCAAGUGGUGCUGAGAAAAAGAUAAAGAAGUGAACAUUUUGAAGGAAACAUUUCUAGAAGAAACACUCCUAUCUCCAGAUGAUGUGUGAUUACAAAGCAUGGAGGCAAGCCAGCUGUUUUGCCAUAAUAAAGAAAGCCGUAAGAUGAAGAUGAAGUUGGGAAAAGAAAAGCAGAAUUUUAAAACAAAAUGCUGCGUCCUUAAAGGUUCCCUUCAGUUACUGAACAAAAAUCAACCAAGCUUCAGAUUCACACAUUCACAAGAGGCCAUAAGUCACCUAUGAGAAUUAAGCAACGCACAGAGGAGAUAGACUGCGGUGUAGAAAAGUCAGUGCCUGGGAGCAGUGCCUGAGAGGUUCUGAUCUCUAGACAUCUUUCUCAGAGGCUCCAUUUUGAAAUACGUCACCUGGUAAAAGUGGCACAUGCCUGUAAUCCCAGUACCUGGGAGGCAAAGGCAGGAAGAUCUCUGUGAGUUUGAGGCCAGCCUGGUCUACAAAGUGAGUCCAGGACAGCCAAAGCCACACACACACACACACACACACACACAUACACCCUGUCUCAAACAAAUAACAAACAAAAAAGUGGUUCUCCCUUCUUGCAGGGGUUGAAAAUUAAAAAGGUCUGGUACAUGUUUUCCACUUUGAAAGGGUUCCUGUAAAUGUAAAUAGUAACUACCUCUCCUCAGGUCCUAUUAAUCCGGGGUGACCUGGUUCAACUAGUGCGCUACCUGUACCACCUGCUCUACUACCGAUGGAAAGAACAGACGGCAAUGUCAAGCUGUCUUGGAAUUCCUCAGAAUCUGAGUAGAAAACGACUCAGUACUUCAGGGAUGGGUUUUUUCCAUCCAAAUCCCAUCCAUUCUUAUUACUACCAUUUAUUAUUGUUACAGAAAUGACUAGCUUAUUUUAAAGCCUAAUUUCACAAAAUUCAUAAAUGGUUUUUUUAAAACCAAUGAUUACAAAAGUUAAUGUGACAUCUUAAAAUUAAUUUACUUUUAUUGUCCAGGAUAACUUGUUAAAUUAUUUCAUAUACUAAAGCAUAGAAAUGUAAAUAUUAUUUUAUUUGAGUGAUAUGGUAAUUACAUAAGUAUUGAGAAAUCUGAUUCUUGCAAACACUUAUUAUUUAGCUAUAUCUGUAUGAAUAUGCACAACACGUUCUAAUAAUAGUAGCAAUCGCCGGUUGUGGUGGCGCACACCGGUAGGAUUUGCUGAAGGAGGCAGAGGCAGGAGGAUCACGAGUUUGAGGCCAGCCUGGGCUACACAGUAGCAAUCAUUUGCAUUUUUAAAUU